Molecule: unclassified non-coding RNA, 144 nt
Filed under: soil metagenome
Description: partial internal transcribed spacer 1
Source: RNAcentral
CCGAGUUUACAACUCCCAAACCCUGUGAACAUACCACUUGUUGCCUCGGCGGAUCAGCCGCUCCCGGUAAAACGGGACGGCCCGCCAGAGGACCCCUAAACUCUGUUUCUAUAUGUAACUUCUGAGUAAAACCAUAAAUAAUCA